GCGGUGAUGAUGUGUUUAAUCGAUGCAACGCGAAAACCUUACCCACCUUUGACAUGUACGGAACUCGCCAGAGAUGGCUUGGUGCUCGAAAGAGAACCGUAACACAGGUGCUGCAUGGCUGUCGUCAGCUCGUGUCGUGAGAUGUUGGGUUAAGUCCCGCAACGAGCGCAACCCUUGUCAUUAGUUGCUACAUUUAGUUGGGCACUCUAAUGAGACUGCCGGUGACAAGCCGGAGGAAGGUGGGGAUGACGUCAAGUCCUCAUGGCCCUUAUGGGUAGGGCUUCACACGUCAUACAAUGGUCGGUACAGAGGGUUGCCAACCCGCGAGGGGGAGCUAAUCCCACAAAGCCGAUCGUAGUCCGGAUCGCAGUCUGCAACUCGACUGCGUGAAGUCGGAAUCGCUAGUAAUCGCGGAUCAGCAUGUCACGGUGAAUACGUUCCCGGGUCUU
Molecule: ribosomal RNA, 449 nt
Filed under: uncultured Rhodoferax sp.
Lineage: Bacteria; Pseudomonadati; Pseudomonadota; Betaproteobacteria; Burkholderiales; Comamonadaceae
Description: bacterial SSU rRNA
Rfam family: Bacterial small subunit ribosomal RNA
Source: RNAcentral